This 1257-nucleotide long non-coding RNA is filed under the name Equus caballus (horse). RNAcentral describes it as "lncRNA (ENSECAG00000050439.1)". Lineage: Eukaryota; Metazoa; Chordata; Mammalia; Perissodactyla; Equidae. The record is from RNAcentral.
CACCACAGAUCAAGGAUUCUCUUGCCACCAGAAUUCUCUUUGCAGUAGGCACUCCCCCUCCCAGCCCUCUGUCCGCAGCUGUUACAACUCUGGUCUUCCCAGGGCCUGGACAUGCCCCUUUGCAGGAUUCAGUGGCACCACGUUGGCUGACACUUGAGGAAUUCACCUUUGGUCCCUACGUGCUGAAGGUAGCAUUAGAUUGGACACUGGGACUAGAGGGCAGCAGCAUAACCCCGGCCCAUCCCAGUCGUCAGAGUCAGCUUGGAGGACUCCAGAGGAGGUUGGAGCUGAGCGCUUGAAUCUAGAAGAGGGACACUAUUCAGCCCACGAAACCCUUUAAAGAGCCCUUGUGCCCAGCACAACGUGGGCAGGAGGCUGACAGCAGUAAGAAUUCACUUCAUGUUUGCUGGGUGACUGACAGCCAAUUCUCUGCUGUCAGCACUAAAUAGAAGCUCUGCAGUGGCAGCUCUGGCUCCUCCCUUCACACUGCCUCGCUACCCCUGCGCUGAGCAAGCAGCCUCCUCAGGCAGGCUCACCUGCCACCGGCCUGUGAGCUCCUCAGCAGCUCAGCUUGGAAGGAGUCUGAAGAAAGAGGUUUGCUUGGUUUUGUUCUGUGCGGAUAUGGUUGGGUGAUUCUAGCAACCAGGUGCAGGCCCCAGGACAAAUCUUCAGGACACAUCAACAUAGGUUACAACCCACUCACCCACAACACACACAUAUUCACACACACACACACACACACACACACACUUAAUGAGCAACUACUGUGUGUAACGUUAAUGAGAGCAUUAAAAGUGGCCGAGAAUAAUCACAGAGGGGACGAUACGCCAAUAUGUCAACUAAGAGUAAGAUGCAGCCUACUGGAAAAUGGAAUUUUCUUUAGAGAAAUUGCCAGAGACCCAAUAGAAUCUCUCUUUAAGUACUCUUCUAAAAGCAGCAUGACAUACUGUAAAGAACAAGUCCUGGGUUUUUGUGUGAGCUUCUCUGCUUACUAGCUGGGUAGUUUGGAGAAAGUUAUUUAAAUUUUCAGAGUCUCAGUUUCAUUAUCUGCAAAAUGGUGAUGAUAAUGACUUCCUUGUGGGAUAAAAGUGAGGUAAUGUAUGUAUUACUCACUGCAGGGAGCGAGAAUGCAUACAACGGAGAAUCAGGGGGUGCUUCAGGAUUGGGACUUAAAGUGAUUUCGGGGAGGAUUUAAGGAAGUGGGGCUUUGCUCUGGACUGGAUGCUAUCAGGAAGCGGGAGUAAUUCUCUAAUUGGG